CCCGGUCUCCGCACUCCUUCCCACAUGCCUUGCCCUGCGCCUCUCCUCCGCCUGGAAGUUCACCCGUGUCCUUCAUCGUAUCCUCUAACGCGCUGAUGAGAAAACAAGGCACGGGGACGUGUAGUCAGUUUUUGGAAAUUCAGCUCAGAAGAUUACAUAUCUCCGGGGAGCCCUACAAUUUGAAGUUUUCUGUGUGUCUGUGUACGCAUCGGGAGUUCCUCUGGAGUUUGCUUCAGACAGCUUUGAGUCUUUGAAAGAAUGUUGUUCUGGGGCAAUCCUGGUCUCAAACACAUACCCUUUGAGUUGUGUUUGUUUGUAUGUGUCACCAUUGUUGUCUUACCUAUUUGUAGUGGUUUGAAGAGUGUCACCCAAAAAUUCAUGUCAUGGAACCUCAGGAAAAGACCUUAUUUGGAAAUAGGGUCUUUGCAGCCGUGAUCGUAUAGUGGUUAGUACUCUGCGUUGUGGAAAUAGGGUCUUUGCAGAUGUUAUUACGAUAAGGCUUGAAAUGAGAUCACACUGGUUUAGGGCAAGCCCUCACCCCCGUCAGAAUGUCCUUAUAAGAGACAGAAAAAAAAAAAAAAAAAGAAAACUAAAGUGACACAGGAAAGAAGGUCGUGGGAAGACAGAGGCCGACACUGGAGCUGGUGGCGGCAAGCCAAGAAA
Mustela lutreola (European mink) is the source of this 663-nucleotide long non-coding RNA. RefSeq lists it as uncharacterized. The transcript is spliced from 2 exons. The record is from RefSeq and is a predicted model, not a curated record. NCBI's taxonomy places the organism in Eukaryota, Metazoa, Chordata, Mammalia, Carnivora, Mustelidae.